UACGAAGGGGGCUAGCGUUGCUCGGAAUCACUGGGCGUAAAGCGCACGUAGGCGGAUUGUUAAGUCAGGGGUGAAAUCCUGGAGCUCAACUCCAGAACUGCCUUUGAUACUGACGAUCUCGAGUCCGGGAGAGGUGAGUGGAACUGCGAGUGUAGAGGUGAAAUUCGUAGAUAUUCGCAAGAACACCAGUGGCGAAGGCGGCUCACUGGUCCGGUACUGACGCUGAGGUGCGAAAGCGUGGGGAGCGAACAGG
RNAcentral lists this ribosomal RNA (253 nucleotides) under uncultured bacterium. RNAcentral's name for it is "partial 16S ribosomal RNA". It matches the Rfam family "Bacterial small subunit ribosomal RNA", at positions 524 to 776 of the family's 1533-position model. The record is from RNAcentral.